RNAcentral lists this ribosomal RNA (806 nucleotides) under uncultured fungus. RNAcentral's name for it is "eukaryotic LSU rRNA". It matches the Rfam family "Eukaryotic large subunit ribosomal RNA", at positions 30 to 821 of the family's 3401-position model. Lineage: Eukaryota; Fungi. The record is from RNAcentral.
GAACUUAAGCAUAUCAAUAAGCGGAGGAAAAGAAACUAACAAGGAUUCCCCUAGUAACUGCGAGUGAAGCGGGAAAAGCUCAAAUUUAAAAUCUGGCGUGCCUCUGGUCGUCCGAGUUGUAGUUUAGAGAAGCGUUUUCUGUGUUGGACCGUGUAUAAGUCUCUUGGAACAGGGCGUCAUAGAGGGUGAGAAUCCCGUCUUUGACACGGACUACCAAUGCUUUGUGAUACGCUCUCAAAGAGUCGAGUUGUUUGGGAAUGCAGCUCAAAAUGGGUGGUAAAUUCCAUCUAAAGCUAAAUAUAGGCGAGAGACCGAUAGCGAACAAGUACCGUGAGGGAAAGAUGAAAAGCACUUUGGAAAGAGAGUUAAACAGUACGUGAAAUUGCUGAAAGGGAAACACUUGAAGUCAGUCACGUCUGCCAGGACUCAGCCUUGCUUCUGCUUGGUGUACUUUCUGGUUGGAUGGGCCAACAUCGAUUUCGACCGUUGGAGAAAGGCUUUGGGAAUGUGGCACCUUCGGGUGUGUUAUAGCCCUUUGUCGUAUACAAUGGUUGGGAUCGAGGACUGCAGCAUGCCUUCAUGGCCGGGGUUCGCCCACGUACAUGCUUAGGAUGUUGGCAUAAUGGCUUUAAGCGACCCGUCUUGAAACACGGACCAAGGAGUCUAACAUGCCUGCGAGUGUUUGGGUGGAAAACCCAUGCGCGUAAUGAAAGUGAUAGCUGAGAUCCUCUCAUCAGGAGCAUCAGCGCCUGGACUUGAUCUACGGAGACGGUUCUACGGUAGAGCAUGUAUGUUGGGACCCGAAA